GCUGGGCACAGUGGCUCAUGCCUGUAAUCCCAGCUACUCGGGAGGCUGAGACAGGAGAAUCUAGAGUUCAAAGCCAGCCUCAGCAAUCAUGAGGUGCUAAGCAACUCAGUGAAAUCCUGUCUCUA
RNAcentral lists this small RNA (125 nucleotides) under Marmota monax (woodchuck). Lineage: Eukaryota; Metazoa; Chordata; Mammalia; Rodentia; Sciuridae. The record is from RNAcentral.